UCAAAGUAAUUUUCCAAACACAUGAAGUUUCUGGACAAAGUACCGGUAUCAGACCAAUGUCAGACCGGUAUCAGACUGGUAUCAGACCGGUAUCGGAUCGGUAUCAGACCGGUAUCGGAUCAGUAUCAGACCGGUAUCGGAUCAGUAUCGCUGAUACUGGCUUGUAUUUUACUUGGUAUCGGAUCAGAAAGAAAGCGAGUGGCAUCGUACAUCACUACUCCAGUACUCCUGCUGGCAGCACGCGGUGUGAUGGAAACCUACGAGCCUGCGUGCUCUAGCCUGGAGCUGCUCUUAAAGGGCCAGCGUCACUAAAAUACCCCACACAGUUAUCACAAUACCAGCUUUACAAUCAGAACAAAUGUGAACAGUUUACCAAACCAAGACUUGGUGGUUCACAUGUUGCAGCUGCAGAGCCGAAUGUCGCCAUGGCCAGGAAAGUGUCUCAG
Long non-coding RNA from Melanotaenia boesemani (Boeseman's rainbowfish), 446 nucleotides. RefSeq lists it as uncharacterized. The transcript has 2 exons. The record is from RefSeq and is a predicted model, not a curated record. Lineage: Eukaryota; Metazoa; Chordata; Actinopteri; Atheriniformes; Melanotaeniidae.